GCAGCCAUCCUGAGUUGUGGUCACCUCGAUGGCCCUGUGUAACCCUGGUCUGUUUCCCUUGCAUAGUUCCCCAGCAGACUAUACAUGACCCAUCUGAGUGGUGUGUGGAGUCUUCUGACCUGGUCCCAGGCAUUGUUAAUUGUAAGGAAUGUUCCUGAUGUCCAUAAUAUUAGCUUGAGACAAACCAAGUACAUUCUGGCUCAGAUGAAGUCAAUUUUACCUUGAGCAUUGUAUAAACCUCUUCCUUCUGACUCAAAUUACAGGGAUCCACCUGUCCUGCUGCUGCCCAAGACUCACUUCUGUAUAAGCUGAAGCCAAAACAGAUGGUGAAUAGAUUGUUUGAGACCCUACAGAGAGCUUGUGGCUAUGUCUGAGUUUGAACCCACUCUGAUGACCAGGUCGAGGGCCUUGACCACCUUGCUCAGUCACACUCAGCUCGACCUUGUUGAGAAGCCCAUGCUUCUCCUUCUCUGCAAAGGGUCUCCAGUAAGCUGGGUGGAGGAGAGAACGAAUGGAGGUAGCGUGGGGUAUUGGAGGAGAUGAAGCAGCUUGUCCUCCAUGUCCUUAGGGUGUGGAAGAGAGGGCUUUGGUAGAAAGAUUCCCACUAAGGGGGUUGGGCCCUUCCAGUUAAGGCAUCCUUGUUUUCUUUCCCAUGGGCCAGAUGCCUUCAUUCAGGCUCUUUGCAGUGACUGCACUUCGACUACGGAGUGCUCUCUGUGAGUUGGGGGCUUUGUAUGUCCAGGGUCUUACCAGGGAUUACUGUAAGGCAAGAAUAAUGGCGAUAUUGUUUGCAGAGCCAAGGUGGAAAAUCAGACCCGGGUGGAGGAUUUAUUUUUCUGCCAUAAAGCUGAUGGGGGCUCUUCAAAAGUUCACUGACUGUGGCGCUAAGUCUCCCUGGUUGGAAACACUCCUGGAUGACAAGGGCAGAGUCCUGGCUAAUGCUGUGCACACCUCUCUAUCGCCAGGCAUCCAAUUCCCUGUGAAUUUUGCAAUAUAGUGACAGUAAUGGAAAGCAAAAUGAUCUCUAAAUAAUGGUUUAAGAUGGCUACUUGAUAAGGGGCAAUGCAAUAAUUAUGAUCAAUGGAGCAUGGAUUCAAUAUAUAUUGCCCAUUUAGAUGCACCAGAUUAGCUUAACAGCUUUCUUUAAUGUUCUGAGUAUUGUAUGUGUGUGUGUGUGUGUGUGUGUGUGUGUGUGUGUGUAAGGAGGGAGGGAGGCAAGGAAGCAGAGGGAAGGGAGGGAGAGAGUGGGCAGCCAGUGAACUGCUGAGAGCCUUGCUCUGGCUCACAUUGAUCAAUGUGGCAGAGGCGACACAGUGCUCAGGAGGAAAGGAAGUUGAGCUUUUAGAAGGCGUGUGAUCCAUUACCAAGAGAAAGCUCUCAGUGUUGUGUGUGGCAGACAGAGCUUUUGUGCAGGGAGGUGGAGGCAGGAGAAAGGGUGAGGGAGAGAUACCUGAUACGAGUUUACUUGCAGGACAAUGAUUGGCGUAAUCACAGAAAUUAGGCAUGCGGGCGGCCAGGCAAAAGAAUCCCUCCACACCCCUGAACCAGGCUCUGGAAACUAAGUGGGCUGGACAGUGCUGGAUUCUGAAAGCUGGGCGGACCACGCAAAUGUAUUUUGCCAGGAAGUGGGGGAACUGAUUUCCUUGACAUUGGUCCUAAUCUCCCCACCCAGAGGGAAUUGUUCCGUGACAGCCUGUCUAGCAAUCUGGGUCCAUUCCCUACCUUUCAUGUUUCCAGGUUGAUCCCAGGUAAGGCCGAGGGCCUGUGAUCAGUGUGUAAUGAUGAAGGCAGCGUGCCAUGUGGGCUGGAAUUCCUGGGAUAAUGGGGAUAAAAUGGUUGCAGUCUUCAUCUUGCUUUGAUUUGUCAGUUAACAUAACAGCCCCCUCUUCCCCCUGUCAUGAAAGGACAUCAGUAGGAAGUGUCACUAUUCCAUGUGACGAGAAGCCAGCCUGCUAACUUGAUAAUCCCCACUGAUGGCCCUGCUGAGUGGCUAAUUGCCUCAGUGACUUUCAGGCCUGCAGAGGCAGCUGGAGUUUAGAUGAUAAUAAUGGCAGCUAAGAUUCACUGAGCAUCUACUAUGUGCCGGGACUUUAGCGUGGCAGCUCUUAAACUGCACAAAAAUCACCUGGGGUGUUUAUUAAAUAAAUGCAGAUUCUGAUUCAGUAAGUCUGGGUGGGGUCCAAAGGGAUGCCAAAGGUUCUGGGUAGCAGAUCCCCCCUUUGAACAGCCAGGGUCUAAUGCCAAAUCUUUUUUGAUUCUUGUAUGAACUCCAUGAGGGGAACUGUUGUGAAUCCCAUUCUACAGAGGAAGAUAUCAAGCCUAAAGAGACGAGCUGCAGCCACAGAGAAAGGUACAACAUGAUGUACUACAGUCACAAGCUGAAGCAGCCUGGAUUCCUGAGUGACCCUGAGUCAUUCAACCCAGAUGGCACGGGCAAGACAGAAACUCAGUUGUGUGAAGCCAUGGAGAUGUCAGGACGCAUCUUUGCUGCAGCAGCUGGCUGAGUUAGCUCGCCAUGUGCCUUUUGGCUCUUCGCUUCUGUGCUUGGGCUACUGAAAACUCUUCACAGGGCCACUUGCUGCUGGUCACCAGGCAUCCAGACUGGUCCAGAGCAUCACACUGUGAAGUAGCUAUCCUCAUGAGACCAUGAAAAAAACAGACAUAAGCUAAGACUCUCCAGGGGUCCUGACAGAAGAAAAGUGAUGCUUGCCUUUCUUCUGAGCCUUCAAAGUGUCGAGGCUGGGGCUUAGGACUGUACCCAGAGCUCAUCAACACCUCACGCUAAUUUUCAAAUGCUCCAGGCUUGAUUAAACCCAAAGGGCAGUUUGCCAAGUGCUUCCUCCCCCACCUUAAUUGUUGAGAUUGUGUAGAAUUGGAGUAAAAUUUAAUCCAGAUGUUUCUGAUUCGUUUAAGUUCAAAUCACCAGAAAAUACUCUUAAGUUGCUAUUUGAUGUUGAAGAAGUUUUUCAAGCAUUUUCCCUGUUCUUAAUAGGAGAGGUCACAUUUGGGUAAGGGUAAAUGAGGCCCAUGCACCUAGAGGUUUCAUCUGAUUUGAUUUGAAAACCCACUUUUGUGAAAUCUGAGUCAGAACUCAAUUUUUCUUUGACCUCCUUUUCAAAUCCCUACCAUGACCAUCUCAAAGGGAAGCCAGAGUCAUUUUCAUGCAGUUGAUAUCAGGGAUUCCUGUUUGAAAAAUUAAUACCCCCAGGCAUGGCCUUCUCUGGCCCUUGGGUCUGAUUGGAGCUGGCAAGCGGCCACUCCCUGUUUGAACUACAGGAGAAGAAAUUUGGGCCAGGUGAGCACAUUGAUUGGACCUCAUUUUGCUACCUAGGAACAUAUUCAUUCAGCUGAUGCAAGCCAAGGUGGCACCAAGUGUCUGAGAACUGAUAAAUAAGUUCUACAGGCUUCUCAUAGUCUAGGGCAGUAGUUUUCAAAGUGUGGUUCCUGAACUGCAGCACUAACGUUAUCCAGGAACUUAAAACUGGGAAUUCACCCUCAUCCUUGAUAGAUGGAGUCAGAAUCUCUGGAGGCAGGGCCAACAGUCAGUGUUACCAAAACCCUGUUCAUCCUGCACCCUGACACUUGAGAAUUGAAGGUCUAGGGCAGUGGUGGCAAACCUAUGGCAUGUGUGCCACAGCCGGCUGUUUAUUGUCAUGGAAAGUUCCAAAAGGUUCACCAUCAGUGGUCUAGGACUUUGGGCAAUCCUUGCUAUGUUACUCAGCAAUAUGUGUUACCUCCUUUGUAGGAAUUAUGAGAUAACAGUGUCAUAUGAUUCCAGACACCCAGACUUAAGCAAUACUGGAUUUACCCAUGGUUGUAAAAAUGAACUUUUUGAUUGAAUGAAAAGGCCAAAAAAAAAAAAAAAAUCAAACAAUCCCCUGAGUUGAUGCUCCCUCACCAAAUGACCUUUUCAUUUUUCUUUGCAGUGGCUGUGCUGUGUGGUUGUAUAGACACAGCCCAAUGCCAGUUUUCCACAGUGGCAAUCUGAAAGUGAAAAUUCUUCUGAUACCCUGCAUUGUUUUCUGGAAAAUACCAUUUCCUCAACAUCCAGGCUUUUAUGAUAUGUGCAUUUAGACAGACACUGGAUUUGGCAAGUUGGUAGGACAGGAUCACCCUCUUUGGUGUGAGUUCACUUGUGCUGCCUUACAUUCGUCAAAUGUUAAUCGAGCUGCUGUUACAUUUUAGGGCAGUCCUGGAGGAACUCAGCGAGUCACCUGGAGACAAGGCUAAUAACCCCUGUGCCUCACCAAAAAGCUCCAUGACGAGAGGCUGGCAAGGACAACUGAACACAUGAUCAAUCAAACACCAUUCUAUGUGAGCACUUCCCAGCAACAGUGGAGCAAAGGGCAGAUGGCUGAGGGUGGUCCUAGACUGCCUCCCAGAAGCCCCAGGUGUUGAAGACCUGGUCCCCAGCUUGGUGCUGUUAGGAGCAGGUGGAACUUUUAAGAAGUGGAGCCUAGUGGGAGGUUUUAGGUCAUUGGGGUGUGCCCUCGACUGUGGGAAUCCAGUCUUUUCCUCCCUUUCACUUCCUGGUACCAUGAAGAAAACAGCUUUGCCCUACCACACGCUCCCCACCAGGAUGUGCUGCCUCUCCAUUUGGCCUCAAAGCAACAAGGCCACUCAAUUUUGUACUCAAAUCUUCAAAGCCAAA
Heterocephalus glaber (naked mole-rat) is the source of this 4651-nucleotide non-coding RNA. The record is from RefSeq and is a predicted model, not a curated record. NCBI's taxonomy places the organism in Eukaryota, Metazoa, Chordata, Mammalia, Rodentia, Bathyergidae.